GGCCCAGGUUUGGGGAGGAGGCCAUACUCCCCAGAUCUAUGCAGUCCCCCUGGAGCUCCAUGUUUUGAGGGCUCUGGAAGAAUCUGAAGAUGGUGGUGGCGAGGAUGUUGGUGUCUCAUGUUGGGUUCUGUCAGCCCGGGCAGCCGAAGGGCUCCCUCAGGUGGUUUUUUGGGCUGUGGGUGUCAGAGCAGGAACGGAUCAUGUUGGGCUCUUAGUGGUGGGUGAUGGCAGAAACACCUCAUAGGUACUUAAAGAGGCAUCCAAUUUCCUACUUAGAUAGGUGGAUGUGGGGUGGGGCAUGGAGUCAUUUUAAUUGGGCCAUAAGUGUAAAUUAGACCUUAUUUUGUAGACCCAGGAUGCUGAGGACAGCAGACAUUUGUCACAUAUAAUAACUGUACUUUCCUUGCCAGCAAUUGAGAGGAGAGAGACAACGAGGAGAAGUUGAAUCUAAUGGAUUAUUCCAAAGGCCAGAGCCCUUCAAAAGAAAAAGGCUGGAGUCCUUAAUAGGACGCCAAGGCCCUCAUGAACGAGCCCCUGAGCACCCACCCUGUGUAGCCUCCUGGCAGGCUCCCCUCUCCGCACACCUUCUCCUCCCCAGCCCUCUUCGGGGUGAUCUUCCUAAACCUAGUAUCACCCCAAUACUCCUCCACUUUGCAACCUUUGACGGCUCCUGCAUUGCCUCUAGAUGGUCCCAAUUCUUUAGCAUGGAGUAUGAGCUCCUUCACAACCUGGCGUCUUCCCUCCUACCACUCUAGAUUCAUCUCUUCUUAUUCAUCUUCUCCAAUAUUAUGUUCCAGCCCCACGAGAUCAUUGACUGAAUACGAAUGCACCUGGGUAUGCUGACUCCUCUGCUCACAGUGUCCUUCUCCUGUCCUCUAUCUGGUGAAACUUCUCUUUCCAAAGAAUUCGCUCAAGCACCAUAGCCCCUGGGAAGCAUUUGGGGAUCCACCCGAGGGUGAUCUGAGCAUUCCUUCCCAUCUUCAUGCCCACACUUACUUUGUCAUCUCCCUUUAUUAUGCACCUAGAAUUCACGGUGACCUUUAUUUGUUUCCCCCACUGGAUGGUGACAUUCUGGAGGUCUGAACUCGGUAUUAAUCAUCUCUGUAUGCUUAGAGAUAUUCGAGUACAGAGUGACAUCCUAAAGAGACUUGUUUAGGGAACAAAGGG
Molecule: long non-coding RNA, 1167 nt
Filed under: Equus asinus (donkey)
Lineage: Eukaryota; Metazoa; Chordata; Mammalia; Perissodactyla; Equidae
Description: lncRNA (ENSEASG00005033059.1)
Source: RNAcentral